Long non-coding RNA from Arachis ipaensis, 1437 nucleotides. RefSeq lists it as uncharacterized. The record is from RefSeq and is a predicted model, not a curated record. NCBI's taxonomy places the organism in Eukaryota, Viridiplantae, Streptophyta, Magnoliopsida, Fabales, Fabaceae.
AGUUUUGAACCGCGACGGGUCUUGAACACCCCUAGUCCCCUACCACACACACAAUCUCCUCUCCAGCUCGUUUUCUCUCAGUUAGGGCACGAAUUGAAGCUCCCAAUCUCCCAUUCUCAGGCCCUCUCUGAAACCUCGUUCAGACACCCACCGUCCACCGUCACUGGCCUCACGGUGUUCUUCCUCUCGGAACCGCGUUGCUCUGCUUCUGCUUGACUGCUUCUCGGAACCGGCUGCUCUGCUUCCGUGCUGCACAGCUUCUCCGUGCCGCACUGCUCGCCAGCGAACCUUAGUCAAGACGCCACCAACAGUGGCUGCGAAGUGUGAAGGUCACUGCUCUGCUCCUCUUCUUCUCGGCACUGCUCUUCUUCUUCUCUUGUUCCUCUUCUUCUCGGCGCUGGUGCUCUUCUCCUGAGGAAAGUCAGAAUCUCCUGCUCAGCGCUUCCUUCCGCUGUUAAAGCUCAUUUCGGAUAAAGACUAAUGGGAGGAGAAGAACUUAAUUGUAUUCCUCCACAAAGCAGUGAGGAUACAAAUGCUACCAGCUGUUCUGCCUCUUUUUUGCAUCUGGUCAUCAUCUCUACGUUGGUGUUUAGUGGUAGAAUUUACACCAGUCAAGUCGGAAAAAGCAAAAAAGAGGCCGAACAGUUUGCAGCAUUUGUUACUAUCCAAUCACUUCUAGUUAUACUUUGAAGAAAAUGGACUUAUGAUGAAUCCUUGUGCCUGAAUAAAUAGCUGCUCAAGCUGCAGAAUUUUUACUUUUUAUGGCGUGUAUCCUUUCACAAAAUCUAGUUCAUGUCAAGAUCUUCGUCAAAUAAUCAAGUCCAAGCUCAACAUGCCCAGGAAACUACGUCAUGCCAAGCAAUCUGUCCCAAGUAAGAGUAAUUUCUCAUUAAUUGUAGAUUCGGCUUCCGUUAUCCUUAACUAUAUGUCUUAAUGAUGGUAAUUAUUUGUGGUCUUCCUCAUGAACUAGCAAUAUGUUCCUUGAAGGUUCUUCAAAGCAGAUGAUACUCCACUAAGUUUGAUUUCUUGAAUAACAAGAAAACCAGACCUUAAAAAAAUUUACAAAGAGAAAUGAUGUAUUCUAAUACAUAUGAAAUCGUAUGGUUUUGAUGCACUUUCUUAAGAAACGUGUUAUCUAUUCAGGGUCCAAUUAAGCGAAAGCUUGACUGUAUUAACUUAGAAAGCAAGAAAUAAGCUAGAGAACCUGGUAAGUUUCUUUCUUGAUAGUUUUUGUGUUUUCCGUUAAGUGGUACACAGUAGUAAUAUUAUGGACCUUUAUACUGAACAAGGAACUAAGAUAGUUAGAUGCUAAUUUCUGUUAAUUUAGUUUUUAUUAUUUCUUUGGAUACAUAUAUUCUUUAUGUUAGAAAGUUGUGUCCCAUAAAGUGUGGUGUAACAUUUUUAGGUAAAAUGCUUAAUAGUUUGGGGCUGAUUCUA